Molecule: long non-coding RNA, 204 nt
Filed under: Elaeis guineensis (African oil palm)
Lineage: Eukaryota; Viridiplantae; Streptophyta; Magnoliopsida; Arecales; Arecaceae
Description: long non-coding RNA (EGUI_LNC053567)
Source: RNAcentral
AUUUAAGGAUAUGACCCGUGCUCAGCGUGAUAGGUUAUGCUCAAAAUCAAUCAAUAGGUUUAUUGGUUUAUUUAAUCAAUUUUGACUAUCCUAUAACUUUAAAGGAUAGAUCAUGCUCUCUAAGAUAGGUUCUAUCUUUAUUGAUUAGAUACCAAUCUAAGGUAUAUUAAAAAGAGUACCAGCUAUCUAAUAAGAAAGCAGCUG